This 316-nucleotide ribosomal RNA is filed under the name uncultured archaeon. RNAcentral describes it as "bacterial SSU rRNA". It matches the Rfam family "Archaeal small subunit ribosomal RNA", at positions 383 to 699 of the family's 1478-position model. The record is from RNAcentral.
AAGUGCCAUUCUUAACGGGAUGGCUUUUCUUAAGUGUAAAAAGCUUUUGGAAUAAGAGCUGGGCAAGACCGGUGCCAGCCGCCGCGGUAACACCGGCAGCUCUAGUGGUAGCUGUUUUUAUUGGGCCUAAAGCGUUCGUAGCCGGUUUGAUAAGUCACUGGUGAAAUCCUGUAGCUUAACUGUGGGAAUUGCUGGUGAUACUGUUGAACUUGAGGUCGGGAGAGGUUAGCGGUACUCCCAGGGUANAGGUGAAAUUCUGUAAUCCUGGGAGGACCACCUGUGGCGAAGGCGGCUAACUGGAACGAACCCGACGGUG